UACGUAGGGUGCAAGCGUUGCCCGGAUUUAUUGGGCGUAAAGGGCGCGUAGGCGGCUCGGCACGUCCGUUUGUGAAAUCGCCCGGCUCAACUGGGCGGGGUCGGCGGAUACGGCCGAGCUGGAGCAAGCUAGGGGGUAAUGGAAUUCCCGGUGUAGUGGUGGAAUGCGUAGAUAUCGGGAGGAACACCAGUGGCGAAGGCGG
RNAcentral lists this ribosomal RNA (202 nucleotides) under uncultured bacterium. RNAcentral describes it as "partial 16S ribosomal RNA". It matches the Rfam family "Bacterial small subunit ribosomal RNA", at positions 524 to 724 of the family's 1533-position model. The record is from RNAcentral.